CCCCUGUCGGCAGCCUAUACAUGCAGUCGUACGCUUCUUUUUCCACCGGAGCUUGCUCCACCGGAAAAAGAAGAGUGGCGAACGGGUGAGUAACACGUGGGUAACCUGCCCAUCAGAAGGGGAUAACACUUGGAAACAGGUGCUAAUACCGUAUAACAAUCGAAACCGCAUGGUUUUGAUUUGAAAGGCGCUUUCGGGUGUCGCUGAUGGAUGGACCCGCGGUGCAUUAGCUAGUUGGUGAGGUAACGGCUCACCAAGGCCACGAUGCAUAGCCGACCUGAGAGGGUGAUCGGCCACAUUGGGACUGAGACACGGCCCAAACUCCUACGGGAGGCAGCAGUAGGGAAUCUUCGGCAAUGGACGAAAGUCUGACCGAGCAACGCCGCGUGAGUGAAGAAGGUUUUCGGAUCGUAAAACUCUGUUGUUAGAGAAGAACAAGGAUGAGAGUAACUGUUCAUCCCUUGACGGUAUCUAACCAGAAAGCCACGGCUAACUACGUGCCAGCAGCCGCGGUAAUACGUAGGUGGCAAGCGUUGUCCGGAUUUAUUGGGCGUAAAGCGAGCGCAGGCGGUUUCUUAAGUCUGAUGUGAAAGCCCCCGGCUCAACCGGGGAGGGUCAUUGGAAACUGGGAGACUUGAGUGCAGAAGAGGAGAGUGGAAUUCCAUGUGUAGCGGUGAAAUGCGUAGAUAUAUGGAGGAACACCAGUGGCGAAGGCGGCUCUCUGGUCUGUAACUGACGCUGAGGCUCGAAAGCGUGGGGAGCAAACAGGAUUAGAUACCCUGGUAGUCCACGCCGUAAACGAUGAGUGCUAAGUGUUGGAGGGUUUCCGCCCUUCAGUGCUGCAGCUAACGCAUUAAGCACUCCGCCUGGGGAGUACGACCGCAAGUUGAACUCAAGGAAUUGACGGGGCCGCACAAGCGGUGGAGCAUGUGGUUUAAUUCGAAGCAACGCGAGAACCUUACCAGGUCUUGACAUCCUUU
This 980-nucleotide ribosomal RNA is filed under the name Enterococcus faecalis. RNAcentral's name for it is "bacterial SSU rRNA". It matches the Rfam family "Bacterial small subunit ribosomal RNA", at positions 33 to 992 of the family's 1533-position model. Lineage: Bacteria; Bacillati; Bacillota; Bacilli; Lactobacillales; Enterococcaceae. The record is from RNAcentral.